CAGCAGCCGCGGUAUUACAGAGGGUGCGAGCGUUAAUCGGAUUUACUGGGCGUAAAGCGUGCGUAGGCGGCUUUUUAAGUCGGAUGUGAAAUCCCUGAGCUUAACUUAGGAAUUGCAUUCGAUACUGGGAAGCUAGAGUAUGGGAGAGGAUGGUAGAAUUCCAGGUGUAGCGGUGAAAUGCGUAGAGAUCUGGAGGAAUACCGAUGGCGAAGGCAGCCAUCUGGCCUAAUACUGACGCUGAGGUACGAAAGCAUGGGGAGCAAACAGGAUUAGAUACCCCAGUAGUCCCUGUCUCUUAUAC
This 301-nucleotide ribosomal RNA is filed under the name uncultured bacterium. RNAcentral's name for it is "partial 16S ribosomal RNA". It matches the Rfam family "Bacterial small subunit ribosomal RNA", at positions 509 to 807 of the family's 1533-position model. The record is from RNAcentral.